RNAcentral lists this ribosomal RNA (253 nucleotides) under uncultured bacterium. Its description in RNAcentral is "partial 16S ribosomal RNA". It matches the Rfam family "Bacterial small subunit ribosomal RNA", at positions 524 to 776 of the family's 1533-position model. The record is from RNAcentral.
UACGGGGGGGGCAAGCGCUGUUCGGAAUUACUGGGCGUAAAGGGCUCGUAGGUGGCCAACUAAGUCAGACGUGAAAUCCCCAGGCUUAACCUGGGAACUGCGUCUGAUACUGGAUGGCUUGAAUUCGGGAGAGGGAUGCAGAAUUCCAGGUGUAGCGGUGAAAUGCGUAGAUAUCUGGAGGAAUACCGGUGGCGAAGGCGGCAUCCUGGACCGAGAUUGACACUGAUGAGCGAAAGCCAGGGGAGCAAACGGG